Molecule: ribosomal RNA, 327 nt
Filed under: uncultured eukaryote
Lineage: Eukaryota
Description: partial 18S ribosomal RNA
Rfam family: Eukaryotic small subunit ribosomal RNA
Source: RNAcentral
CCCUUAGAUGUUCUGGGCCGCACGCGCGCUACACUGACGAAUGCAACGAGCUUAUAACCUUGGCCGAAAGGUCUGGGUAAUCUCCAAAUUUCGUCGUGAUGGGGAUAGAUUAUUGCAAUUAUUAAUCUUCAACGAGGAAUGCUUAGUAAGCGCAAGUCAUCAGCUUGCGUUGAUUACGUCCCUGCCCUUUGUACACACCGCCCGUCGCUCCUACCGAUUGAAUGGUCCGGUGAAGCGUUCGGACCGUGGCCUUUGGACGGUUCGCCGUCUGUUGGCUGCGGGAAGUUCGUUAAACCUUAUCAUUUAGAGGAAGGAGAAGUCGUAACA